UAAGGGAAUUCCCCUAGUAGCGGCGAGCGAAGCGGGAAGAGCUCAAAUUUAUAAUCUGGCACCUUCGGUGUCCGAGUUGUAAUCUCUAGAAAUGUUUUCCGCGUUGGACCGCACACAAGUCUGUUGGAAUACAGCGGCAUAGUGGUGAGACCCCCGUAUAUGGUGCGGACGCCCAGCGCUUUGUGAUACAUUUUCGAAGAGUCGAGUUGUUUGGGAAUGCAGCUCAAAUUGGGUGGUAAAUUCCAUCUAAAGCUAAAUAUUGGCGAGAGACCGAUAGCGAACAAGUACCGUGAGGGAAAGAUGAAAAGCACUUUGGAAAGAGAGUUAACAGUACGUGAAAUUGUUGGAAGGGAAACGCUUGAAGUCAGACUUGCUUGCCGAGCAAUCGGUUUGCAGGCCAGCAUCAGUUUUCCGGGAUGGAUAAUGGUAAAGAGAAGGUAGCAGUUUCGGCUGUGUUAUAGCUCUCUACUGGAUACAUCCUGGGGGACUGAGGAACGCAGUGUGCCUUUGGCGGGGGUUUCGACCUCUUCACACUUAGGAUGCUGGUGGAAUGGCUUUAAACGACCCGUCUUGAAACACGGACCA
This 585-nucleotide ribosomal RNA is filed under the name Rhodotorula mucilaginosa. RNAcentral describes it as "eukaryotic LSU rRNA". It matches the Rfam family "Eukaryotic large subunit ribosomal RNA", at positions 67 to 668 of the family's 3401-position model. Lineage: Eukaryota; Fungi; Basidiomycota; Microbotryomycetes; Sporidiobolales; Sporidiobolaceae. The record is from RNAcentral.